This 274-nucleotide ribosomal RNA is filed under the name uncultured bacterium. Its description in RNAcentral is "partial 16S ribosomal RNA". It matches the Rfam family "Bacterial small subunit ribosomal RNA", at positions 523 to 796 of the family's 1533-position model. The record is from RNAcentral.
AUACGGAGGGUGCAAGCGUUAUUCGGAAUCACUGGGCGUAAAGGACGCGUAGGCGGGUUGGCAAGUCAGAUGUGAAAUCCUACAGCUUAACUGUAGAACUGCAUUUGAAACUGCUAACCUAGAGUAUGGGAGGGGGAGAUGGAAUUAGUGGUGUAGGGGUAAAAUCCGUAGAUAUCACUAGGAAUACCGAAAGCGAAGGCGAUCUCCUGGAACAUAACUGACGCUAAGGCGUGAAAGCGUGGGGAGCAAACAGGAUUAGAUACCCUAGUAGACC